UACGUAGGGUGCGAGCGUUGUCCGGAAUCACUGGGCGUAAAGGGCGCGUAGGCGGUCUCUUAAGCGUGUGGUGAAAGCCCGGGGCUCAACUCCGGGUCGGCCGUGCGAACUGGGGGACUGGAGCUUGUCAGAGGCAGGCGGAAUUCCGGGUGUAGCGGUGGAAUGCGUAGAGAUCCGGAAGAACACCGGUGGCGAAGGCGGCCUGCUGGGACAGUGCUGACGCUGAGGCGCGACAGCGUGGGGAGCAAACAGG
This 253-nucleotide ribosomal RNA is filed under the name uncultured bacterium. Its description in RNAcentral is "partial 16S ribosomal RNA". It matches the Rfam family "Bacterial small subunit ribosomal RNA", at positions 524 to 776 of the family's 1533-position model. The record is from RNAcentral.